Molecule: long non-coding RNA, 255 nt
Filed under: Fukomys damarensis (Damara mole-rat)
Lineage: Eukaryota; Metazoa; Chordata; Mammalia; Rodentia; Bathyergidae
Description: lncRNA (ENSFDAG00000030760.1)
Source: RNAcentral
CCUGCGCAGGCGCAGACGGCCAGUGCAGGUGGGCUUCGCGGGUCUGGUCUCCCGCGGCGGCGCAGCUCCUGGAUGUCUGACAGUGUAUGCCCUGGGCUGAGGUGGGACACUGGGAAGGAGCGGAAAGGGACAGAGAGCCCGGGAACACAGCACACAAGCUGUCGCCUGAGGGCUGAAGUAGGACGCCCGGGUUCUGAGGAUCAAGACCAAGAGAAACAAAGUCCCACUCUGCAACCCCCUUGCAUCCCUCUCUAA